RNAcentral lists this ribosomal RNA (135 nucleotides) under uncultured bacterium. Its description in RNAcentral is "partial 16S ribosomal RNA". It matches the Rfam family "Bacterial small subunit ribosomal RNA", at positions 1358 to 1501 of the family's 1533-position model. The record is from RNAcentral.
UACGGUGAAUACGUUCCCGGACCUUGUACACACCGCCCGUCAAGCCAUGGAAGCUGGGUGUACCUAAAGUCGGUAACCGCAAGGAGCCGCCUAGGGUAAAACUAGUAACUGGGGCUAAGUCGUAACAAGGUACCC